GGGCCAUUGGCUCAAUGGUAGAGCAGGCGACUCUUAAUCGUCAGGUUGCAGGUUCGAGUCCUGCAUGGCCCACCA
Molecule: transfer RNA, 75 nt
Filed under: Pelotomaculum sp.
Lineage: Bacteria; Bacillati; Bacillota; Clostridia; Eubacteriales; Desulfotomaculaceae
Also listed under: 1 other name
Description: tRNA-Lys
Rfam family: tRNA
About the family: Transfer RNA (tRNA) molecules are approximately 80 nucleotides in length.
Source: RNAcentral